AAGGAAUUAGUUAAAUUAACAUUAGUAUGUCAUACUAAAAUUAUUAGUCAUUAAUCUAAUAUUUCUUA
This 68-nucleotide transfer RNA is filed under the name Klapopteryx armillata. RNAcentral's name for it is "tRNA-Asp". The record is from RNAcentral. Lineage: Eukaryota; Metazoa; Arthropoda; Insecta; Plecoptera; Austroperlidae.